This 1197-nucleotide ribosomal RNA is filed under the name uncultured organism. RNAcentral's name for it is "bacterial SSU rRNA". It matches the Rfam family "Bacterial small subunit ribosomal RNA", at positions 199 to 1426 of the family's 1533-position model. The record is from RNAcentral.
GAGUAAAGAUUUCGGUCGCUUUGGGAGGAGCUCGCUUACUAUCAGCUUGUUGGUAGGGUAAUGGCCUACCAAGGCUAUGACGGUUAGGGGGUGUGAGAGCAUGACCCCCAGCAUUGGCACUGAAACACUGGCCAAACACCUACGGGUGGCUGCAGUCGAGAAUCUUCCACAAUGGGGGAAACCCUGAUGGAGCGAUGCUGCGUGCGGGAUGAAGGCCUUCGGGUUGUAAACCGCUUUUGUAGGGGACGAAAUUUUUGACGGUACCCUUUCGAAUAAGAGGUUGCUAACUCUGUGCCAGCAGCAGCGGUAAUACAGAGACCUCAAGCGUUAUCCGGAUUUACUGGGCGUAAAGCGUCUGUAGGGGGUUUAUCAAGUUCCAAGUAAAAUUUCAAGGCUCAACUUUGAAUUCGCUUGGAAAACUAAUAAACUGGAGUCUAGCAGAGGUGCAUGGAACUUGUGGUGUAGGAGUGAAAUCCGUUGAUAUCACAAGGAACACCAAAGGCGAAGGCAUUGCACUGGGCUAGCACUGACCCUGAGAGACGAAAGCGUGGGGAGCAAAACGGAUUAGAUACCCGUGUAGUCCACGCCCUAAACGAUGAAUGCUAAAUGUUCGGGGAUUCGACCCCCUGGGUGUUACAGCUAACGCGUUAAGCAUUCCGCCUGGGAAGUACGGCCGCAAGGCUAAAACUCAAAGGAAUAGACGGGGAUCCGCACAAGCGGUGGAGCGUCUGGUUUAAUUCGACAGUAAGCGUGGUACCUCACCAGGGUUUGACAUCCCUUGACAGCCUUGGAAACAAGGUUUCCUUCGGGCAAGGUGACAGGUGCUGCAUGGUCGUCGUCAGUUCGUGCCGUGGGGUGUUCCGUUAAGUCGGGAAACGAACGAAACCCCUAUUGCAUGUUACAAUUUCUCAUGCAAGACUGCCCGGAUAUACUGGGAGGAAGGUGGGGAUGACGUCAGAUCUGCAUGGUCCUUAUACCCUGGGCGACACAGGCGCUACAAUGGCAGAGACAAAGGGUUGCAAAACCGCAAGGUGAAGCUAAUCCCAAAAACUUUGUCUAAGUUCGGAUUGAAGGCUGCAAUUCGCCUUCAUGAAGCUGGAAUCGCUAGUAAUCGUGAAUCAGCCACGUCACGGUGAAUAUGUUCCCGGAUCUUGUACUCACCGCCCGUCACACCAAGAGAGUUGGUAGCUCCCGAAG